UAGUCCACGCCGUAAACGAUGUCGGCUAGCCGUUGGGCUCCUUGAGAGCUUUGUGGCGCAGUUAACGCGAUAAGUCGACCGCCUGGGGAGUACGGCCGCAAGGUUAAAACUCAAAUGAAUUGACGGGGGCCCGCACAAGCGGUGGAGCAUGUGGUUUAAUUCGAUGCAACGCGAAGAACCUUACCUACCCUUGACAUCGAGAGAACUUUCCAGAGAUGGAUUGGUGCCUUCGGGAACUCUCAGACAGGUGCUGCAUGGCUGUCGUCAGCUCGUGUUGUGAAAUGUUGGGUUAAGUCCCGUAACGAGCGCAACCCUUGUCCCUAUUUGCCAGCGAUUCGGUCGGGAACUCUAGGGAGACUGCCGGUGACAAACCGGAGGAAGGUGGGGACGACGUCAAGUCAUCAUGGCCCUUACGGGUAGGGCUACACACGUGCUACAAUGGCCGGUACAAUGGGCUGCGAACCCGCAAGGGGGAGCCAAUCCCAAAAAGCCGGUCUUAGUUCGGAUUGCGGGCUGAAAUUCGUCCGCA
This 529-nucleotide ribosomal RNA is filed under the name uncultured bacterium. Its description in RNAcentral is "bacterial SSU rRNA". It matches the Rfam family "Bacterial small subunit ribosomal RNA", at positions 791 to 1320 of the family's 1533-position model. The record is from RNAcentral.